CACAUUGGAAUUGAGGAAACGCCCCAGACUCUACGGGAGGCAGCAUUGGGAAUUUCGCAAUGGCGAAAGCUGACGAGCAUACGCGUGAGGAGGAGCUCUGGGUUGUAAACUCUUUCUCUGGGAAGAAACUGACGGUACCAGAGAAUCAGCAUCGGCUAACUCCGUGCCAGCAGCCGCGGUAAUACGGAGGAUGCAAGCGUAUCCGGAAUGAUUGGGCGUAAAGCGUCCGCAGGUGGCAGUUCAAGUCUGCGGUUAAAGAUUGGGGCUCAACCCCGACAGAGCCGUGGAAACUGAACAGCUAGAGUGCGGUAGGGGCAGAGGGAAUUCCUGGUGUAGCGGUGAAAUGCGUAGAGAUCAGGAAGAACACCGGUGGCGAAAGCGCUCUGCUAAACCGUAACUGACACUCAGGGACGAAAGCUAGGGGAGCGAAUGGGAUUAGAUACCCCAGUAGUCCUAGCCGUAAACGUUGGAUACUAGGUGUUGCUCGUAUCGACCCGAGCAGUGCCGCAGCUAACGCGUUAAGUAUCCCGCCUGGGGAGUACGCCGGCAACGGUGAAACUCAAAGGAAUUGACGGGGGCCCGCACAAGCGGUGGAGCAUGUGGUUUAAUUCGAUGCAACGCGAAGAACCUUACCAGGCUUGACAUGUCGCGAACCCUUUGUGAAAGCAGGGGUACCUUCGGAGCGCGAACACAGUGGUGCAUGGCUGUCGUCAGCUCGUGUCGUGAGAUGUUGGGUUAAGUCCCGCAACGAGCGCACCCUCGUGUUUAGUUGCCAUCAUUAAGUUGGGCCACUCUAGAGAGACUGCCG
RNAcentral lists this ribosomal RNA (808 nucleotides) under uncultured bacterium. RNAcentral's name for it is "bacterial SSU rRNA". It matches the Rfam family "Bacterial small subunit ribosomal RNA", at positions 309 to 1154 of the family's 1533-position model. The record is from RNAcentral.